CGGGGUGUAGCUCAGUCCGGUAGAGCACUCGCUUUGGGAGCGAGAAGUCGUCGGUUCAAAUCCGGCCACCCCGACCC
RNAcentral lists this transfer RNA (77 nucleotides) under Bacteroidota bacterium. Its description in RNAcentral is "Bacteroidetes bacterium (marine metagenome) tRNA-Pro". It matches the Rfam family "tRNA". Rfam says of the family: Transfer RNA (tRNA) molecules are approximately 80 nucleotides in length. RNAcentral also lists the same sequence under 1 other name. Lineage: Bacteria; Pseudomonadati; Bacteroidota. The record is from RNAcentral.